This 460-nucleotide ribosomal RNA is filed under the name uncultured bacterium. RNAcentral's name for it is "partial 16S ribosomal RNA". It matches the Rfam family "Bacterial small subunit ribosomal RNA", at positions 338 to 795 of the family's 1533-position model. The record is from RNAcentral.
CCUACGGGUGGCUGCAGUGAGGAAUAUUGGUCAAUGGACGAGAGUCUGAACCAGCCAAGUAGCGUGAAGGAUGACUGCCCUAUGGGUUGUAAACUUCUUUUAUAUGGGAAUAAAAUGUUCCACGUGUGGGAUUUUGUAUGUACCCUGUGAAAAAGGAUCGGCUAACUCCGGUCCAGCCACCGCGGGAAUACGGAGGAUCCGAGCGUUUUCCGGAUUUAUUGGGGUUAAAGGGAUCGUAGGUGGAGUGUUAAGGCAGUUGUGAAAGUUUGCGGCUCAACCGUAAAAUUGCAGUUGAAACUGGCAGUCUUGAGUACAGUAGAGGUGGGCGGAAUUCGUGGUGUAGCGGUGAAAUGCUUAGAUAUCACGAAGAACUCCGAUUGCGAAGGCAGCUCACUGGACUGCAACUGACACUGAGGCUCGAAAGUGUGGGUAUCAAACAGGAUUAGAUACCCCAGUAGUC